GAGUUUGAUCCUGGCUCAGAUUGAACGCUGGCGGCAUGGCUAAAACAUGCAAGUCGAACGGGAUCGCAAGAUCUAGUGGCGGAAGGGUGAGUAAUAGUAUCGAACGUGCCCCGAGGUGGGGGAUAGGCAUGGGAAACUGUGCGUAAUACCCCAUGAUUUCUAAGGAACAAAGCUUCGGCGCCUUGGGAGCGGCGAUAUUCCUAUCAGGUAGUUGGCGGGGUAAUGGCCCACCAAGCCGAAGACGGGUAGCCGGUAUGAGAGUACGGCCGGCCACAUCGGGACUGAGACACUGCCCGGACUCCUACGGGAGGCUGCAGUAACGAAUAUUCCACAAUGCACGAAAGUGUGAUGGAGCAAUGCCGCGUGCGGGAUGAAGCAUCUUUGGUGUGUAAACCGCUGUCAGGAGAUAGAAAUACUGAUCAUCUCCAGAGGAAGUGGCGACUAACUCUGUGCCAGCAGUCGCGGUAAUACAGAGGCCACAAGCGUUAAUCGGAAUCACUGGGCUUAAAGGGUGCGUAGGCGGACUCGUAAGUGCUUUGUGAAAGCCCUCGGCUCAACCGAGGAACUGCAGAGCAUACUGCGAGUCUUGAGGAAUCUAGAGGCCGGCAGAACGAUAGGUGGAGCGGUGGAAUGCGUAGAGAUCUAUCGGAAUGCCAAAGGUGAAGACAGCCGGCUGGGGAUUUCCUGACGCUGAGGCCACGAAAGCGUGGGGAGCAAACAGGAUUAGAUACCCUGGUAGUCCACGCCCUAAACAAUGCGCAUUAGACCGAUGCAGGUCUGACCCUGUAUUGGUCGUAGAGAAAUUGAUAAAUGCGCCG
RNAcentral lists this ribosomal RNA (818 nucleotides) under uncultured Planctomycetaceae bacterium. RNAcentral describes it as "bacterial SSU rRNA". It matches the Rfam family "Bacterial small subunit ribosomal RNA", at positions 9 to 871 of the family's 1533-position model. The record is from RNAcentral. Lineage: Bacteria; Pseudomonadati; Planctomycetota; Planctomycetia; Planctomycetales; Planctomycetaceae.